GACGAACGCUGGCGGCGUGCUUAAUACAUGCAAGUCAACUGAACUUAGGAUAGCAAUAUUUUAAGGGAGGUGGCGCACGGGUGAGUAACACGUAGGUAAUCUGCCUUUAGGUCUGACAUAACCUACCGAAGGUAGGCUAAAAUCAGAUGAUGCAGCGGCUCGACAUCGAGACAGUUGUUAAAUCUUCGGAGCCUAAAGAUGAGCCUGCGUCUGAUUAGGUAGUUGGCGGUGUAAUGGACCACCAAGCCUGCGAUCAGUAGCUGGUCUGAGAGGAUGAUCAGCCACACUGGAACUGAGACACGGUCCAGACUCCUACGGGAGGCAGCAGUAAGGAUAUUGCUCAAUGGCCGAAAGGCUGAAGCAGCAACGCCGCGUGGAGGAUGAAAUACUUUGUAUGUAAACUCCUGUAAGAAGGGAAAAUGUUCCGAUUCAUCGGAAUUGAUUGUACCUUCAGAGUAAAGCCCCGGCUAACUACGUGCCAGCA
RNAcentral lists this ribosomal RNA (484 nucleotides) under uncultured bacterium. Its description in RNAcentral is "bacterial SSU rRNA". It matches the Rfam family "Bacterial small subunit ribosomal RNA", at positions 28 to 513 of the family's 1533-position model. The record is from RNAcentral.